Long non-coding RNA from Stegodyphus dumicola, 297 nucleotides. Lineage: Eukaryota; Metazoa; Arthropoda; Arachnida; Araneae; Eresidae. The record is from RefSeq and is a predicted model, not a curated record.
ACUAGUUUUCAAGAAUGGAGUUAAACUAGAUUUGCAUUCAACUCUGGUUUAUUGUGUUAAUGAUGUUUUGCUGUAACAAAUAUGAAUUUUUUGUUUAAGUAUAAUAAUUUAAAAUGUUUUUUUCUAGAGAAUGAAGUACUGCCACUAAGGUAAAGGUGCUAACUUGCAAGGAGCUGUUCUCAAAACAUUGGGUGACAAAGAAUUCACUUUUACAAAAAUCGAGCAGGAUAUUAAAGACAGCGAACUAUAGAACAAAUAUGGCGAAGCUGCAUGAAGUCUAUGUUGAAUUUUAUUAUU